AGCGAACGGCUGGCGGCGUGCCUAACACAUGCAAGUCGAACGGUUCUGUUGGGGGCUUGCUCUCGACAGAGUAGUGGCAAACGGGUGAGUAACACGUGGGUAAUCUUCCUUCGAGUGAGGAAUAACUUCGGGAAACCGGAGCUAAUACCGCAUAACAUCUUGGAACGGCAGUUCUAAGAUCAAAGGGGGCGCAAGCUCCCGCUUGAAGUUGAGCUCGCGUCCUAUCAGCUAGUUGGUGAGGUAAUGGCUCACCAAGGCUCCGACGGGUAGCCGGCCUGAGAGGGUGGCCGGCCACACUGGGACUGAGACACGGCCCAGACUCCUACGGGAGGCAGCAGUGGGGAAUAUUGCGCAAUGGACGAAAGUCUGACGCAGCGACGCCGCGUGGGUGAUGAAGGCCUUCGGGUCGUAAAGCCCUGUUGAGGGAGAGAAAGCUACUGUCGGUUAAUACCCGGCAGUGGUGAUAGUAUCCCUAGAGAAAGCACCGGCUAACUACGUG
RNAcentral lists this ribosomal RNA (499 nucleotides) under uncultured bacterium. RNAcentral describes it as "bacterial SSU rRNA". It matches the Rfam family "Bacterial small subunit ribosomal RNA", at positions 35 to 507 of the family's 1533-position model. The record is from RNAcentral.